AGUGAACGCUGGCGGUAGGCCUAACACAUGCAAGUCGAACGCCAGCACAGGAGAGCUUGCUCUCUGGGUGGCGAGUGGCGGACGGGUGAGGAAUACAUCGGAAUCUACUCUGUCGUGGGGGAUAACGUAGGGAAACUUACGCUAAUACCGCAUACGGCCUACGGGUGAAAGCAGGGGACCUUCGGGCCUUGCGCGAUUGAAUGAGCCGGUGUCGGAUUAGCUAGUUGGCGGGGUAAAGGCCCACCAAGGCGACGAUCCGUAGCUGGUCUGAGAGGAUGAUCAGCCACACUGGAACGGGGACACGGUCCAGACUCCUACGGGAGGCAGCAGUGGGGAAUAUUGGACAAUGGGCGCAAGCCUGAUCCAGCCAUACCGCGUGGGUGAAGAAGGCCUUCGGGUUGUAAAGCCCUUUUGUUGGGAAAGAAAUCCAGCUGGCUAAUACCCGGUUGGGAUGACGGUACCCAAAGAAUAAGCACCGGCUAACUUCGUGCCAGCCGCCGCCGUAA
Molecule: ribosomal RNA, 506 nt
Filed under: uncultured bacterium
Lineage: Bacteria
Description: partial 16S ribosomal RNA
Rfam family: Bacterial small subunit ribosomal RNA
Source: RNAcentral